ACAUCAGUGCACACAUGCUUGAAUUUGUUGGCAAGCGGAGAAAUGAGAGAUGUUUAGAAGGGUUUAGAGGAGAAUGGGAUAACUGUAUCGACAAGUCAUUCCUCAUAAUCCUCAAAGGAGAUGUCAUAUGAGAAUGUUAGGGUGAACACAAGAUACACAAAAGGGUGCCCCAACUUGAUGUUAUGGAAAAUGAGCUGGGGUUUGGAUUCAUGAAAGUUAGGGUGAGAAAAUUUCAAAUGAGAUUUGCAAAGCUGCCCCAGUCUUGAGGUUAUGGAUUGAUGAAAAACUUGUGUGAGACUCACAAAGCCGCCCAAUUUUUUGUUUGCCUUUUUUUCUUUGUUUAUUAUGGUAUGGGUUGAUGAUAAACUCGGGUGAGACUCACAAAGUUGUCCCGGUUUUUUUUUUGGGCAAGGGGUUCCAUUUGGAAGAGGUAUUGGACAUGAAAAGGAUGGGCUAAAAGGAUGGCCCCAAAUUAGUUUGAUUUUUCUUUUGCAUGCUUCUGGUUAGAUGGCAGGGUGAUCCCCUAUUCCCGAGACAUUACUUUUUCUUUUUUUUGCUUUUUUCUUCUCUUCUCUUUUCUUUUCGACACAUUGAAAAUCAUUUCCCCUUAUCGCAAAAUUAAGCUUCAUGAAAACUUUAACAAACAUUAUCCAAUCUGUGUGGACUUUAUUAGGCUUGUAACGUGGAUAGGGGCUAAAAGGUAUUAGAAGAAAAGGUAUAAAGGCCCAAAUGAAUGUUUGUUGGUUAUUAUUUUUUGAAACAAGGGUUAUCAUCUAGGCAUUGCAUCAACUAUUUGACUUUUUGAGCACUUUGUUUUUUCCUUGAACUUCGUUUUUCAUUCUUUUUGCUCAACAUCACUUUGUGAUUUUUUGUUCUUUUUGUUUUUGUUUUCGGUUUUUUGUUUUUUUUUGUUCACUCUUCUUGAUGAAUUUUCUUUGUUUGAUCAUUGAGC
Molecule: long non-coding RNA, 952 nt
Filed under: Vigna radiata
Lineage: Eukaryota; Viridiplantae; Streptophyta; Magnoliopsida; Fabales; Fabaceae
Description: long non-coding RNA (VRAD_LNC010091)
Source: RNAcentral